Molecule: long non-coding RNA, 1396 nt
Filed under: Phasianus colchicus (ring-necked pheasant)
Lineage: Eukaryota; Metazoa; Chordata; Aves; Galliformes; Phasianidae
Description: lncRNA (ENSPCLG00000020841.1)
Source: RNAcentral
GUAGAGGCCUUUCUAUUUUUCUGCAGUAUGCUUUGUAAUUAUUUGGUUUUCCUCUGAACCCAAAACUUGACUCAGAUUUGAGUUAGCCACAAGGGAUAUUUUGGGAGGUAUUGUAAAGGCAGAGAAAUCAAGCUUAAGCCCCUCUUUAUUAUUAUGUUUAACCGCAGGAAACUCUCAUUGUUCAGUUUUGUCUUGACAUUGAACAGGGCAGGUGUGUCCACAUAAGGUGCAACAGAGAGGAUUUGCAUGCUGGCUUGCUGAAGUGACAGAAUUGUGCAAAAUAACUGCAGUGGUCUGGCAAGCUUCAGGAAGCAGGAAAAAGAUUGCUCAAACUGAAGCAUCUAGGAAAUCAUGAAAAUUUCAUCAGGGAACUUUUUCAGAAGGAUAAAAGUCAGGUAAAGAGACCAGAAUGGUCAGCAAUCUGGUAAUUAGAAAACUUACCUGAGAGCAUUUGAAGUACUGAUUAGAAUCUAGCCCUGCAGAGCACAAGGAUGUGGCUGAACAAAGAGGCAAUAGCUAUUCUGAGGUGGUUUUCUUUCUCAAAAACAGUGAGUUACAAGAAGAUAAUUGGAAGCAGUCAAGGACUUGAGAAUGCAUUCUUCGCUGACAUACAGUUUGCUGUGCUACCUCCCUGACUCCUUGUCAGGAUAGGAUGACUUACCUUCAUUCUUCCUUGCCUGUUAUGUGGCCAUUUGUUCACUAAUGUCAAUCAUUUACUGUGGCAUGUUAGGUCAAACCGUAAGAGGUGGGCUUCUUUUGGCACUAACUCAUGGAAAAGGUCCUUCCUGUGGAAUCAUUGUAACAGUUACAGCAUUGUAAUAUCUUCCUUUAGAUCAGGUAUGCAUUAUUGUAUUUGUGCCUAUAAGAUCUUCAGUGAAACGUGACUCUAAACCUGAAUUUUCUGACCAGUGUUUCUUGCUUAUGUUUGCCCAUGAAGUCCCAGCCUGUGUCCUGAAGGGAGGGAUGCUAUACAAGAUGCUACACUGGAAUUAGAAAUUACAAUUUAUCAACAGACAUAUUGUUCCUUACCACUAGAAAAAUAUUUCUUAUGUACCAAAGCUAGUUGUUAUAUUCAAAAGAGGAACUCUACUAAUCUGUGAUAGAUCAAGCCUGGGUCAGGCUGUCUAAAAAGCUCUUGAGUUUUGUAUCGAGUCAGUAAUUAUUGAAAUACCUUGAAAAAUAUACCUCACUUUUAGGUUUUGUAGAAUAAUACUUUUACUGAUUUUUUGUUUGUUUGUUUCUUUUCUUAUUCAGUGCUACAGUUGUAGGUAGUAGAUUGAAAGUACAUAGGCUGCUCUGAAAGUAAUGCCUGUUAUUUAUUUCCAUGGGAGCUAGAACAGAUACAAAGGGCAUAAUUAAGGCUAUUUGCUAGAGCAAAUAGUUUGGUCUCUAUAAA